GUUUUGUUUAUUGGCACUCAGUAUAAAAUAAUAUAUGUGUAAUAUAUUCAUUCUUGAAAUAUUUUAUAUAAAAUUGUUUUGAUUAUGUUUUUUCAUGAAGUAAAAACUGAUUUUAUGCACCAGUAAAGAGAUUUAUGCUUUGUCAGUUUACAAAUUACAAUAAAAAAAAAUGAAACAAUGGUAUAAAUAUAAACAAUAUUAUAUCAAUAGUAUAUAUUGUAAUUAAUAAGAAAUGAUAUUCCCUUGUUUUUCCUAGUUAAGACAUGAAACAAUUGCACAUUAACAGAUCCAGAGUGGGGUUCUGGGGGUGGAAUCCCCACUUUUUUGGAUGAACAAUGCAUUUGAAUGGGGAAAUAUAGUUGGAACCCCUCCCCUUUAUCCUGGGUUAAGAACCCCCCUUUUAAAAAUGUCUGGAUCCGCCGCUGAUUGUGCAUUAUUUAAAAUUAAAUAUGAGAGGUUAAUAUUAAUGUACAAAUUCAGAAUCUUAAUCCAACAUGAUCCAAUUUAUUUCAAAUUUUUAUAUUAUAAAGAACCAUGAAAAGAAUUUUUAUUUAGAAAAAAGAGGGUGUGAAAACUUUUUAUUUAUUCCUACUGACAAUAUACAAAAAGAUAAAGCAUUAAAGACCCAAAGAAACGAACAACCUUAUUCUUAUAAAUUAUAGAUGUAUUUUUACCUUCUUUCUAUCUGAGUGGUCCCAAUAUUGUAACUUUAUGACUCAACAUUUUACUCUGUAAGUGUAUGAGUCCAAAGAUAAUGGCAUAAUCUGAUUCUUUAAUUUUCAUAAUGUUUAUUGAAUAUUUCUGUACAUAUUUCACAAUUUUUACAUACAGAAAGAAGUAUUCAGUGGCAAGAAAAAUAUACUUUUUUAAAGAAUUUAUAUCAUUACUGGUAUAUUAAUUAUUUUUGUUAUUUUCUUAUUGUUGAUGAUUUUGAUAUUUACAUAUGUUUAAAUAUUAUGAAAUAAUUAUACUUUAAAUUAUUAAGAAGCCUAGUGUUUUUUCUUUAUAACUUUUUUUAGCCAUGUUGAGGGACCAUAGAUAAUGAUCAUUGUGGUCAUUUGUUCUCAUGUUGGGGUGCUAAAUAUUUAUAGUGGUCAUUUUGUGCAUUUAUUAAUUUGUGUCUCUGAGUGUCAGUCUGCCUUUAUCAAUUUGUAUUUUCAAUACGUACCUGUAGCAAAAAAGACUUUUAAGUUGUACUGUUACUCCACUGUCCCAGAUUAGGGGAGGGUUAGGUGCCUUCAAACUAGUUUAACCCAACCACAUUCUGUGUCUUCCUGUCCCAAGUCAGGGCUGAUAUUCAUAUAACUACUUGAGUUAAGAUAUUUCUGAGCAAACAUAUUUUUUCUACAUGUCCUACAAUAAAUUAGUACAAUGAUUGGAUAUCUUAACUUAUAAAAAAGAAGAUGUGGUAUGAUUGCCAAUGAGACAACUUUCCACAAAAAAAAAAGGUGGUUUAUGCAAAUCAACCCAGGAGC
RNAcentral lists this long non-coding RNA (1475 nucleotides) under Mytilus galloprovincialis (Mediterranean mussel). The record is from RNAcentral. Lineage: Eukaryota; Metazoa; Mollusca; Bivalvia; Mytilida; Mytilidae.